Phasianus colchicus (ring-necked pheasant) is the source of this 1805-nucleotide non-coding RNA. The record is from RefSeq and is a predicted model, not a curated record. Lineage: Eukaryota; Metazoa; Chordata; Aves; Galliformes; Phasianidae.
AGCUGUUGAAGAACCGUGGAGAUGUGACAAGGAAUGAGCAGUAUUCCUGGACGCAAAAAGGGAGAAUAAUUGACUUUCAGGCUGUAUGUUACAAAUCCACUUUUGUGAUUUUAGUGGUGCCUGUGACAAGAAAGGAAAUGUGGGAAAGGGAGCUGGCUCCAGGAAGGAGUGCCUGGCUAUUUUUCCAGUCAAUAUCUAGUGUGCUGCACAGCAUCCAAGAGAAUUUGCAGAAUCAGAAUUUGGGCUGGAUAUGUGGGAUAUGGACAGAAGAGCAGCUUCAGAAUGACCCGUGUUACUGUGUCACGGAGAAGUGCUGGCUACCAUUGCAAAGUAUCUGCUCUCUUCCAGUACUAUGAAUUCUGUAGGAUUUCAAGAAAGCUUUUAAAAUCCUCAAUUUGGGUGAGAUAUUUUUCCGAGAAAGAAAUUUUAACAGAACAAUGUGAUUAGAGGAAUAUUUAAUAAUUCUGAUUCCCAGCACUAUGGCACUAGCUAUGUUCUACCACAAGUUUAUUUUUAUUUUGUACACAAUGGGCUACAGUUUGGUUCAGAUACUUUAUACCAACAUUUGUCUUGGAUCAACUGAUGUAUCUGAAGAACAGGACAGCUUUAUGAGACAAACAUGUUUUGUCAGUUUCCAGCUGUCUAUACUGCUCUUUUUCUUUGCAGAGUAUUUUAUCAUGAAAUAUGAAAUUAUGCCUACUGAUAUUGACAAAUAUUGUAAGAAAGAAUCCAUGGAUGGACAAGUCACAGCACGUGGCAGUUGUAAGGAAGAAGCUGUGACCACGUUAGUGGUCUAAUUUAUUCAGUUGAUUGAGGUAGAGGUGGGAAAAAAAUGCUCCAAAUAAGUAUCCCUAUACUGUCUAUAAGGCAUGUUUCAAAAUGUUUAUACUAGAAACAAAUCUAUGCUUGAUGAGCUCCAGAUGAUUCCACUGAUGUUAAUACAAAGAAAAAAGCUAGCAUCUUCCCUCCUCUGUCCCCUUCCCCUGCCAGAGGUAAUCCAGAGAUUCUUUCACUGUUAAAGCCAUUAUGACAUAUUUUGGAACUAGCAAAACUGAAAAUGAUUCAUCUAGUCUUUCCUAUGAUGUUUAAAAAUGUAUUUUGCAGUAGCUCUAAGUACAAGGCGGUUAGAAAACUUUCAGCAAUUUAUAUAAAUAAAUAUUGUAGGAAAAGCCUUUGAAGCGGGAGAUCAUGACUGAACACAUCUGCUUAACAGAACUAAAAGCACAAGGGUUUGAGACCUUUCUCUUCAGCUGUACCAAACAAAACUAAAAAGAAAGACAAGCUUUGCUUUAAUGUUUUACUCAUAAACUUUUCAUUGUUUUGUGUUUUUGUACUUGCAUAGCAAAAGGAGUGUAGAUAAACAAAUGUAUCAUUUCUUUUAAUGGCAAAAGUAUUCUGAUUUUUACUCAGUGAUGUAGCAUAAAUAUUAUUUUUGAUAGUAAGGCUCCAAUUUAUUUUUGGCUUAAAAAAGCUGGUAUGAGAUAGUGUUGAAGAAAAGAUCUUUGAUUCUUUAAUAUCAGCCAUGAACAAAGCUUUCAAAGGUACUGCAUUUUAAACGGUUCAGUAUUAAUAUCCAAGAAUCUGAUUUUGCUUUGCAAAGACUUGUCUCUUGAUCAAAAGAAGAGAGCUCACGAAUUAAGAAGUCCUUUCCAUCUUGUAAUGCUAGGAUUCUGUGAUUCAUUCUAUUCUUAGUGGAGCUUGAAACAUUUUUCCAUUAUUAUCCAGUCAGUAAUGUUGAAUAAACUUUCUUAAGCCUAAUGGUCUCACUGAAGUAUUUUUUGAGCAGACGAAAGGUUAGAAAAGAG